Loxodonta africana (African savanna elephant) is the source of this 45-nucleotide non-coding RNA. The record is from Rfam. Lineage: Eukaryota; Metazoa; Chordata; Mammalia; Proboscidea; Elephantidae.
GUAAAGGUUUUUUUGAAAACCACUAAUAUAUUAAGUGCUGGAGAG